GAUGAACGCUGGCGGCGUGCCUAAUACAUGCAAGUCGAGCGAACAGAUGAGGAGCUUGCUCCUCUGACGUUAGCGGCGGACGGGUGAGUAACACGUGGAUAACCUACCUAUAAAACUGGGAUAACUUCGGGAAACCGGAGCUAAUACCGGAUAAUAUAUUGAACCGCAUGGUUCAAUAGUGAAAGACGGUUUUGCUGUCACUUAUAGAUGGAUCCGCGCCGCAUUAGCUAGUUGGUAAGGUAACGGCUUACCAAGGCAACGAUGCGUAGCCGACCUGAGAGGGUGAUCGGCCACACUGGGACUGAGACACGGUCCAGACUCCUACGGGAGGCAGCAGUAGGGAAUCUUCCGCAAUGGGCGAAAGCCUGACGGAGCAACGCCGCGUGAGUGAUGAAGGUCUUCGGAUCGUAAAACUCUGUUAUUAGGGAAGAACAAAUGUGUAAGUAACUAUGCACGUCUUGACGGUACCUAAUCAGAAAGCCACGGCUAACUACGUG
Molecule: ribosomal RNA, 497 nt
Filed under: uncultured bacterium
Lineage: Bacteria
Description: partial 16S ribosomal RNA
Rfam family: Bacterial small subunit ribosomal RNA
Source: RNAcentral